CAUCCGCGUACACAUCCACGCCCCGGGGGCGCGGCCGCCACGUGGGGAGUGGCGCGGGGGAGGCCCUGGGACCGCGCCCCCUCUAGCCCUGGCUGCGUGGGCCCCGCUUUUCCCCGAGCGCGGGAGACUCCGGGCCCGGCCGGUCCCACGUUCCACGCGAGCUGAAUUCCUGCACGCGUCCCAGCGGGGCGGCCGGAGGCGGCGGAGGGGAUCGCGGGCUCCGGGAGGCGCUCGGGUUCCGAGAAGCGACUCAGUCCCGCGCUCCUCCUUCCGCAGUGCCGCGGCCGGCGGGGCCAGGAUUCCUGCGGGCUUGGCGGCUGCGGGCGCGAGGCGGCGCGGGUUCCCGGCGCGUCUGCUCACCUCGCCCGCCUCGCCUCCCCGGCCGCCGCCUCCAGCGUGCGCAGAGCGCUCCCCCGCGUGCCCGCUCCGCGCGUCUCGGUUUUCCCUCUUCUCCCCCCAGACCCAGCGUCACAGCUGAGCCGACCUCUGUGGCCUUGAGAGCGCGCGGGGCGCGCGCGGAGAUGGGCAUCCUCGUGUCCACGCCUCGCGCGGCCACUCCUUCUCCGGGCACCGCGGCCCAGGGUGGGGUGGGAGCAGAGAGUGAUAAUUGAAGUCCUUGUCACCAUCGUUGGAAGAGCCAGGUGCCUGCCAGGCCUGGGACUGACUUUGGGAUCUCACUGAAGGCUGUGGUAGGUGAUCGGUGGCCUGGGCAGGAGGGAGGGCAGUUCCUUUGGGUUUGUGCGUGUUGCGGUGUUUGCAGUCGUGUGUAGAUGGCCCCGGAUAUAUGGUGACUGUAAGUUAGCGAGCCUGUAUGUGGCAUGCUCCCAUGGACUCAUGUUUAUAUUCUGUAGUUGCCCAUAAAUAGUUGUGUGCUGGUGCUGGGUUUGUGUUAAUACAUGUGCAUUAGUGUCUGUAAUGUAUCAGUGUUUCCAUUUGAGAGUGGUUUUAAUAUUCCUUUUUGCUUUUGGGAAACUGUUUUAUUGUGUGUGUGAAUAUAUCCCCUCCUGUGAGAAACCACACCUUCUUCACCACAGGGUGGCUCUUGAGAGAAAGAAGGUAGAAUGGCAGGGAGGUUCCAACCUGCACCUGCUGGGGGGUGUGGACCAAGGCUUAUUUACAUAUUCAUGAGUGGGCAGCCUGGUUGAGAAGAGCUGCAAUCUUUCUUCUUGUUUUUUUUUUUUUUUUUAAAGAUUUAUUUGAGGCCGGCACUGUGGCAUAGUGGGCUAAGCCUCCGCCUCCAGUACCGGCAUCCCAUAUGGGUGCUGGUUCGUAUCCCGGCUGCUCCUCAUCCCAUCCAGCUCUCUGCUAUGGCCUAGGAAAGCAGUAGAAGAUGGCCCAAGUCCCUGGGUCCCUGCACCCACAUGGGUUUCUGGUUUCUCUCUCUCUCUCUUUUUUUUGACAGGCAGAGUGGACAGUGAGAGAGAGAGAGACAGGGAGAAAGGUCUUCCUUUUCUGUUGGUUCACCCCCCAAUGGCUGCCGCGGCCAGUGCGCUGUGGCUGGUGCACUGCGCUGAUCCAAAGCCAGGAGCCAGGUGCUUAUCCUGGUCUCCCAUGCAGGUGUAGGGCCCAAAGACUUGGGCCAUCCUCCACUGCCUUCCUGGGCCACAGCAGAGAGCUGGCCUGGAAGAGGGGCAACUGGGACAGAAUCCGGCGCCCCGAUUGGGACUAGAACCCGGUGUGCCGGCGCCGCAAGGUGGAGGAUUAGCCUAUUGAGCCGCGGCUCCGGCUUGCGUGUGUUUUUAAGAUUUAUUUAUUUGAAAGAGACACAGAGAUUUUCCAUCCACUGGUUUACUCUCCAAAUGCUCAUAGUGGUUAGGUCAAAGCCAGGAGCCAGAAACUGCAUCCUGGUCUCCCAUGUGGUUGACAGGGGGCAAACACCCGGGAUGCGAACUGGUACCAGUAUGGGAUGACGUCACAGGCAGUGCCUUUCCCUGUUACAUCACAAUGCCGCCCCAGAAAUUAAAUCUUGAAGAGACUCAGUCUGAGCCUGGAGGCAGAUGGGGUGGUGAGGCUCCACGACUCCCACAUUCCAGGUAUAGUGGCUACCGCCUGCAUCAUGGCCAGGUAGCAUCCCACCUGCACUGUUCCUGAAAACCGACUUCCGCAUAACACACGCAACUCUUCUUCCUGGUGCAUCAGCAGGGAGCGGGAUCGGAAGCGGAGCAGCCGGGACUCCAACUAGUGCUCUGAGAGGGGACGCUGGCACUGCAGGAGUGGCUUAACCGGCUCAGUCUUAGGGAGGAGGAGAUUAAAGCCUGAGGAAGGAAGAAAGUGGCCCAGGUUCGUAGUCCAGGACAUAAUCUUAGCUACCACGUAUCAGCAUCUACAAAUGCUGGGGCUUUCACAUCUAGUCUUUGGUUUAUUUCCUUAGCGGUCUGAUUUUGCAGGUGAAUCAGGCUCAGAGAGUUACGGUAAUUUGUGCGAGGUCACACAGCAGUUGGGCCAAGGCCCAGAGUGCAGAUCUGUCUGACACCACAGCUUGAGUGGUUCCUCUGUCCUCUCCUACUUCCCAAAUUCCAGGACCCAGGGCUGCUGAAUCCUGGGCUGGGAGCUUUUCUGUACUGGCUGCAGCUCCUGUGGGAAGCAGGCAGCGCCCCGGGGGUGUGGUGGUGGGGGGUGUAGAACCGCGGGUGAGAGAAGUGGAGGGAGCCGGGGGUGGGGCCUUGGUCGGACACGCUCAGAGCUAGUGGGGAGAGGGGCUCCCCAAGCCCCGCGGAAGACCCAGCCGGGCGGCCCCCAGCAGCCUGGCGCGCUCUCCCUGGGGGCUGAGCGCCUUUCCGCCUCAGCCCGCCUGAUUGGGGCAGAGCAGGCUUCAUGUAUUAUUAAUAGCACCGCCAGCCUUCCUGUUUUCACGCUGAUAACCUGCCGGGGAGGACGGCGGGGAGAGAGGGAGCAAGGUGGCAAACCCUGCCGCUGCCAGGCCUCCCCCUCGGAGGAGCCGCGCUGCCUGCGGGGGCUGGCCCGGCCCCAAGUCUCUGAACUUGGUUUCUGCAGCCUCCCCCAACCCCAGCGAGCAAGGGAGCACAGGGGAGGGGCCCAGGCCCUCUGCGGGGAGCUCUCGGAGAAGGAGCCCAGCCCGCAGUGCAUCCGGGACACCAGGGGCUCCAGUCACCUUGGCUUCUGGAGAGGCAGGUGUGGCCACACCCAAGUGGACAGGGGGCUGUGCGCGCGUGGGCUCUCGUCUAUGUGUCCGCGCAUGCGUGGGACAGAGUCCUCUGGGGCCGGGAUCUCCAGCCGGCCUCUCCCGGCUCCACCCCAUGCCUUCCAGAGCCCGGCAGGGGCGCAGGGGCAGGGCACAGGGCCUGGGCUGGGGAGAGGCUACCCUCUCUGAGCCCAGGUGCUCACUGGAGGUGGCCAGUGUGGGCCUGCAUGCGCCAUUUGGGCAUCCCUGCUCAACUCCCGCCCCCACCACCCCAGGUU
This is a non-coding RNA of Oryctolagus cuniculus (rabbit), 3420 nucleotides long. The record is from RefSeq and is a predicted model, not a curated record. Lineage: Eukaryota; Metazoa; Chordata; Mammalia; Lagomorpha; Leporidae.